CCUACGGGUGGCUGCAGUGGGGAAUAUUGGACAAUGGGCGAAAGCCUGAUCCAGCCAUGCCGCGUGUGUGAAGAAGGCCUUCGGGUUGUAAAGCACUUUCAGUGGGGAAGAAAGCCUUGGGGCUAAUACCCUCGAGGAAGGACAUCACCCACAGAAGAAGCACCGGCUAACUCCGUGCCAGCAGCCGCGGUAAUACGGAGGGUGCGAGCGUUAAUCGGAAUUACUGGGCGUAAAGCGCGCGUAGGCGGUCUGAUAAGCCGGUUGUGAAAGCCCCGGGCUCAACCUGGGAACGGCAUCCGGAACUGUCAGGCUAGAGUGCAGGAGAGGAAGGUAGAAUUCCCGGUGUAGCGGUGAAAUGCGUAGAGAUCGGGAGGAAUACCAGUGGCGAAGGCGGCCUUCUGGACUGACACUGACGCUGAGGUGCGAAAGCGUGGGUAGCAAACAGGAUAGAUACCCCGGUAGUC
RNAcentral lists this ribosomal RNA (464 nucleotides) under Vreelandella stevensii. Its description in RNAcentral is "partial 16S ribosomal RNA". It matches the Rfam family "Bacterial small subunit ribosomal RNA", at positions 338 to 795 of the family's 1533-position model. Lineage: Bacteria; Pseudomonadati; Pseudomonadota; Gammaproteobacteria; Oceanospirillales; Halomonadaceae. The record is from RNAcentral.